Molecule: microRNA precursor, 94 nt
Organism: Carlito syrichta (Philippine tarsier)
Lineage: Eukaryota; Metazoa; Chordata; Mammalia; Primates; Tarsiidae
Source: Ensembl
UGACUCCUCCAUGUCUUGGAGUAGGUCAUUGGGUGGAUCCUCUAUUUCCUUACGUGGGCCACUGGAUGGCUCCUCCAUGUCUUGGAGUAGAUCA